RNAcentral lists this ribosomal RNA (250 nucleotides) under uncultured bacterium. Its description in RNAcentral is "partial 16S ribosomal RNA". It matches the Rfam family "Bacterial small subunit ribosomal RNA", at positions 355 to 596 of the family's 1533-position model. The record is from RNAcentral.
UGGGGAAUAUUGCGCAAUGGGCGAAAGCCUGACGCAGCAACGCCGCGUGAGUGAUGAAGGCCCUAUGGGUUGUAAAGCUCUGUCAGUGGGGAAGAACGGGCGCGCGCCAAUACCGCGCGUUCCUGACGUUACCCGCGAAGGAAGCACCGGCUAACCCUGUGCCAGCAGCCGCGGUAAUACAGGGGGUGCAAGCGUUGUUCGGAAUCACUGGGCGUAAAGCGCGUGUAGGCGGAAAGGCCAGUCUGUUGUG